GAAGUGCGAUAAGCAAUGCGAAUUGCAGAAUUCCGCGAAUCAUCAGAUCUUUGAACGCAAAUGGCGCCGGAGGGAUAUCCUUUUGGCAUGUCUAUUUCAGUGUCUGAGAGGUUUCACCUAAAUCUUAAUGUGAUUGACUUGGGAGUUAGUUUUAGUUAACUUACACCCUGUCUCUCAUGAAAGAUGCGCGAGAGGAUCUUUCGGUCCAAUGAAGUGGUCACAUCACUCGUAUGUGAUUUCAUUGGGAGCACCGAAUUAUUCGUAAUCUCGUGAAAACUCAUAUUUACAAAAAUCUACAACCUGCAUCUGAGAUAGGCAAGAUCACCCGCUGAACUUAA
This 338-nucleotide unclassified non-coding RNA is filed under the name uncultured fungus. RNAcentral describes it as "sequence contains ITS1". The stretch from base 1 to 105 matches the Rfam family "5.8S ribosomal RNA", at positions 50 to 154 of the family's 154-position model. Lineage: Eukaryota; Fungi. The record is from RNAcentral.